CCUACGGUGAGCAGCAGGGAGGAAUAUUUGUCAAUGGGCGCGAGCCUGAACCAGCCAAGUAGCGUGAAGGAUGACUGCCCUACGGGUUGUAAACUUCUUUUAUAAAGGAAUAAAGUGAGGCACGUGUGCCUUUUUGUAUGUACUUUAGGAAUAAGGAUCGGCUAACUCCGUGCCAGCAGCCACGGUAAUACGGAGGAUCCGAGCUUUAUCCGGAUUUAUUGGGUUUAAACGGAGCGUAGAUGGGUUGUUAAGUCAGUUGUGAAAGUUUGCGGCUCAACCGUAAAAUUGCAAUUGAUACUGGCAGUCUUGAGUACAGUUGAGGUAGGCGGAAUUCGUGGUGUAGCGGUGAAAUGCUUAGAUAUCACGAAGAACUCCGAUUGCGAAGGCAGCUUACUAAACUGCCACUGACAUUGAUGCUCGAAAGUGUGGGUAUCAAACAGGAUUAGAUACCCUUGUAGUC
Molecule: ribosomal RNA, 460 nt
Filed under: uncultured bacterium
Lineage: Bacteria
Description: partial 16S ribosomal RNA
Rfam family: Bacterial small subunit ribosomal RNA
Source: RNAcentral